AGAGUCGGACACGACUGAAGUGACUUAGCAGCAGCAGCAGCAGCAGCCAACAAUUGACUUUUGUCUGCUUACCGUCUGAGCCAACAUCUUCAUGUCUGUGACAGACUGCCUCAUUCACAGCCACCACAGGCCAAAGGUAAAGCUCCCACAUGGGCAGCCUUAACCUGGGGGACGGUGGAGUCUCGUGUCAGUCACCCAUGUCGUAAUUGCAGAAUGAAAACUUGUGGCUGGAGCUGAGGAAGAGGGGCUCUGCCCAGCUCCGCAGUACCUCUCUUCCUCCCCGGGGACACUUUGUCAGUCCAUCCUGAAUGACCCUGGUACCUUUUAGCAAGCUCUACAGAUAACUAGAGUUCAAACAGGGAAAUAAUAUAUUUAAAAUGGUAACAAUAAGCUGAUAAUAAUACAUUAACCAGAACCUAUUACAUAUUAAUAUUAGGCAUGAUGCAAGUGCUCUAUGUGAACGUAAUCCUCUCCAAAACCCUUGGAAAUAGACAACGCUGUCACUCCUGCUUUACUGAAUACAGAACUGAGGCCUACAGAGGUAAAGCCUUUAUGGCUGUGUGAUGCCCACAACUAUUGACUGAAGUUUCUUCCUGCCUAAAAGCCAGAGGUUGGCUAGGGGUCAGUAUUUCCCAGAACGUGGUAUGUGGACUACUGUCCCGAGUCACCAGGGGUGCUUGUUGACCUGCAGACUCCUGGCUCCACCCCAGAUAGGAAUCCCUGGGGGUGAGGCCCAGGAAUCUAACAAGAACCCCAGGUGAUUCUUAAGCAUAUUAAGGUCUGAGAACCCCCAGGUAUAUAAUCCCCAAAUUUCACCCAGCUCUACUAUGAUGGCCUGUGCUUUCCUUUUGUUAGAGACUCUUCAAGAAUGCAAGCGUUCCUCUUCCAUCCCACCCAGAAUUAACCCUUAAAUAUCCCACACAUUUUCUUUAGAUCAGCUAUAGACAACAUGCAAUCUUGUUUCAUACAAGACACAAGCAAAUUCUUUAUUCUCUAAGAUGUUUAAACCAUACGAAACAAAUCCCUCCCAUUUAGAAGGAAUGCAAAAACAAGAUGACAUGACCUUAGCCAAAAGAAUUUUCUUAAAGGUAUUUUACAAGUGGAAGUCCACACACAUAUGGAAGUAGUUACUGAGAAGAGUCACUGGACCAGGGAACAUCGACAAUGAUCUCUCUCAUUUCUCAGAGAAAGGGGGUGGGAGGAGAGAAGGUAUUUCUAAAUCAACACACACACACACACACACACACACACACAUUCCAAUCAUACACAUAGAAGACACAGGUAACACUGGGCUGUGAGAGAAGAGUGUGAGAGCAAACAGGCCUUUUUCCACUAAAAACAUGUUACCAUCAGCCAUGGUCUUGACUUUUCCUCCUAAUUUA
Molecule: long non-coding RNA, 1382 nt
Filed under: Capra hircus (goat)
Lineage: Eukaryota; Metazoa; Chordata; Mammalia; Artiodactyla; Bovidae
Description: lncRNA (ENSCHIG00010008733.1)
Source: RNAcentral